AGUGAACGCUGGCGGUAGGCCUAACACAUGCAAGUCGAACGGCAGCACAGUAAGAGCUUGCUCUUACGGGUGGCGAGUGGCGGACGGGUGAGGAAUACAUCGGAAUCUACUUUUUCGUGGGGGAUAACGUAGGGAAACUUACGCUAAUACCGCAUACGACCUACGGGUGAAAGCAGGGGAUCUUCUGACCUUGCGCGAUUGAAUGAGCCGAUGUCGGAUUAGCUAGUUGGCGGGGUAAAGGCCCACCAAGGCCACGCUCCGUAGCUGGUCUGAGAGGAUGAUCAGCCACACUGGAACUGAGACACGGUCCAGACUCCUACGGGAGGCAGCAGUGGGGAAUAUUGGACGAUGGGCGCAAGCCUGAUCCAGCCAUACCGCGUGGGUGAAGAAGGCCUUCGGGUUGUAAAGCCCUUUUGUUGGGAAAGAAAAGCAGCAGGUUAAUACCCCGCUGUUCUGACGGUACCCAAAGAAUAAGCACCGGCUAACUUCGUG
RNAcentral lists this ribosomal RNA (492 nucleotides) under uncultured bacterium. RNAcentral's name for it is "partial 16S ribosomal RNA". It matches the Rfam family "Bacterial small subunit ribosomal RNA", at positions 29 to 507 of the family's 1533-position model. The record is from RNAcentral.